Molecule: ribosomal RNA, 380 nt
Filed under: uncultured bacterium
Lineage: Bacteria
Description: bacterial SSU rRNA
Rfam family: Bacterial small subunit ribosomal RNA
Source: RNAcentral
CCUGAACGCUGGCGGCGUGGCUAAGACAUGCAAGUCGCACGGAGGUAGCAAUACCUCAGUGGCGAACGGGUGAGUAAUGAAUCGCUAAUGUGCCCCGGACUCUGAGAUAGCUGGCCGAAAGGCCAGGUAAUAUCAGAUGAUAUAACCGAACCGCAUGGUUUGGUUCUCAAAGGUCCGCCGGUCUGGGAGCAGGCGAUUUCGUAUCAGCUAGUUGGUGAGGUAACGGCUCACCAAGGCGACGACGGGUAGCCGGCCUGAGAGGGCGACCGGCCACACUGGGACUGAGACACGGCCCAGACUCCUACGGGAGGCAGCAGUGGGGAAUCUUGCGCAAUGGGCGAAAGCCUGACGCAGCGACGCCGCGUGAGGGAUGACGGCCU